This 229-nucleotide unclassified non-coding RNA is filed under the name plant metagenome. Its description in RNAcentral is "partial contains small subunit ribosomal RNA, internal transcribed spacer 1, and 5.8S ribosomal RNA". The record is from RNAcentral.
UCUCCGUAGGUGAACCUGCGGAGGGAUCAUUACAGAGUUCAUGCCCUAACGGGUAGAUCUCCCACCCUAUGUUAUCAUCACUUUGUUGUUUUGGCGGGCCGUCAGGCCUCGGCUUGGCUACCGGCUCUCGCUGGUAAGCGCCCGCCAGAGAACCCCAAACCCUGAAUAUCAGUGUCGUCUGAGUACUAUAUAAUAGUUAAAACUUUCAACAACGGAUCUCUUGGUUCUG